CUACGGGGGGGCUCCAGUGGGGAAUAUUGGACAAUGGGGGAAACCCUGAUCCAGCAAUGCCGCGUGUGUGAAGAAGGCCUGCGGGUUGUAAAGCACUUUCGGUUGGGAGGACUGCUUCUAGCACUAAUAUUGUUGGAAGUUGACGUUACCUUCAGAAGAAGCACCGGCUAACUCCGUGCCAGCAGCCGCUGGUAAUACGGAGGGUGCAAGCGUUAAUCGGAGUUACUGGGCGUAAAGCGCGCGUAGGCGGCUAGAUCAGUCGUGUGUGAAAGCCCCGGGCUUAACCUGGGAACUGCAUCCGAUACUGUCUAGCUUGAGUACAGGAGAGGAGAGUGGAAUUCCACAUGUAGCGGUGAAAUGCGUAGAUAUGUGGAGGGACACCAAUGGCGAAGGCAGCUCUCUGGCCUGAUACUGACGCUGAGGUGCGAAAGCGUGGGGAGCAAACAGGAUUAGAUACCCCCGUAGUC
Molecule: ribosomal RNA, 467 nt
Filed under: uncultured bacterium
Lineage: Bacteria
Description: partial 16S ribosomal RNA
Rfam family: Bacterial small subunit ribosomal RNA
Source: RNAcentral